RNAcentral lists this ribosomal RNA (311 nucleotides) under uncultured bacterium. RNAcentral describes it as "bacterial SSU rRNA". It matches the Rfam family "Bacterial small subunit ribosomal RNA", at positions 28 to 334 of the family's 1533-position model. The record is from RNAcentral.
GACGAACGCUGGCGGCGUGCCUAAUACAUGCAAGUCGAGCGAGCGAGAGAGAGCUUGCUUUCUCAAGCGAGUGGCGAACGGGUGAGUAACGCGUGAGGAACCUGCCUCAAAGAGGGGGACAACAGUUGGAAACGACUGCUAAUACCGCAUAAGCCCACAGGUCGGCAUCGACCAGAGGGAAAAGGAGCAAUCCGCUUUGAGAUGGCCUCGCGUCCGAUUAGCUAGUUGGUGGGGUAACGGCUCACCAAGGCGACGAUCAGUAGCCGGUCUGAGAGGAUGAACGGCCACAUUGGGACUGAGACACGGCCCAA